Talpa occidentalis (Iberian mole) is the source of this 1209-nucleotide long non-coding RNA. RefSeq lists it as uncharacterized. The transcript has 4 exons. Lineage: Eukaryota; Metazoa; Chordata; Mammalia; Eulipotyphla; Talpidae. The record is from RefSeq and is a predicted model, not a curated record.
GUCGGUCAGCUCCUCCCGGGUCUGGCCCGGCUGGGACGCACGGCCCUGCGCGUCGCCCGGGAGGAAACCCCGGGGUUCCGCUGCGCUCCACUCGGGACGCCGGCUCCCCGAUCCCUGCGUCUUUUCUUUUUUUACAGAGUUCCUCUUUCUAACUUGACUCCCCCACUCACCCCCAACUGGCUGCCUGGCCUCUGCGGAAUCUCUGUUGCCCUGGAUUUCUUAAAGGUUUUAAAGCCUGUCUCCAACUUGGUAUUUAUUUAUUAAUUCUGAUGUCUAAAGACUGUGAUCAAAGCUAUACCGAGCUCUUGGCAGCGGUCAGCCAGGCGCUGUGGGGCACUAAGAAGUUCAAAGGAUUAUUACAAAGCAGCAAGGAGCGAGGAGGUGGACAAACACCCGCUCCUUGAAGACCAGCUGCGGGUGACGGCCGCUUACAGUCCAGGCUCUGGUGACCAGCAAGGGCAUGGAUCAAGGCUGCAUGGAUAUCCUUCUCUGCAGGUUCAAAAUACAGCUUCACUCCUUUCUUGGCAAAGUGGGCGGAUUUCCUGACCUUGGCUGCAGUUUUGAGCACCUGAGGUCUUUUCUGAACACCCAGACUGAGUUGACAAGAUAGACCUCACUUUCAACCAUAUUAUCUUGGAAGAAGACCCUGAACCUCAGAUGACACUCCAGCCCCAGCCAACACUGUGAUUUCAGCCUGUGAUACUCUUAAGCAGAGAGCCUAGACUGCCUGGACUUCUGAUCUACAGAACUGUGAGAUAUAAGAAGAAGAGAGGGAAAGGAGAUUGUCAACGAUGGGAGGAAGCCUCCAGAAAAACCCCAACAGUACAAGUUCAGAGAGUUUCCAGACUGGUGAACACAUCUGUGUGUCAGGAGGAUGGGGCACUCCAACCCUAUGAGGACAAAAGCUCCUGCAUCAGGACCCUUCCAGACCUUGCCAUAUAUAUUUCUUCAUUUGGUUGUUCAUCUACAUUCUUCAUGAUAUCCUUUAUUAAACACUAAACUGGUAAACAUAUGUGUUUUCCUGAGUUCUAUGAGCUGUUCUAGCAAAUGAUGGAAUCCAAGAUGGGGUGGUGUGCAUCUCCAGUUGGUAGUCACAUGGGACACAUGUAGGCAACCAGGGGACCUAUUAUUUGUGACUGAUGUCUAGACUGGGUAACAGUCUUAUAGGACUGAGUCCUUAACCUGCACUAACUUUGGUUAUUAUCAGAA